RNAcentral lists this long non-coding RNA (566 nucleotides) under Mytilus galloprovincialis (Mediterranean mussel). Lineage: Eukaryota; Metazoa; Mollusca; Bivalvia; Mytilida; Mytilidae. The record is from RNAcentral.
CUCCAAACUAAAGGUAAAUAGGGGAAGUUCAUAAAACUUUCACCAUCGGACGGUUUCCUUUUUUUAACCAAAAUCAACUGUCGCAUUCCUCACUUGGUACGGUUUAGUUUCGCUGAAACAAAAACACAGAUCAUUCCAAAGAUAUGUAGUUAAAACAUAUUUCCUAAUUUGACAAAACAUCAACAUAGUAAAAAUAAUUAACAAAAUUCCUGAAUUGAAACUAUCAUAUAAUAGUCAAAUUCUUCCCUUGUAUCUCGACCAUUGGAACUUCUAUAAGGUACAAAGCAAACCACACGAUAACAUCACUUCGGAAAGAAUUGCUUAGAGUUACAUUUGUACAGACUACAAAUAAUAGCUACAGUGAAAGCAAUACGAGCUUCAAAAGAGAUGCCCACAGUUACGCAUAGUCUAAAAAAGUUGUAAACCUCUGAAACAGAUAUUUUCUGCCUUUUUAUCAUUCUUUUUUCUUUAUCACUGUAUAAUUUCAUGUUUAUGAUUGGAGCCGGUUUAUGUAGACUUUCUAUAAUUUUGUGUCUAUGAUUGGAGCCGGUUUUCUUAAUAAUAUU